This 253-nucleotide ribosomal RNA is filed under the name uncultured bacterium. Its description in RNAcentral is "partial 16S ribosomal RNA". It matches the Rfam family "Bacterial small subunit ribosomal RNA", at positions 524 to 776 of the family's 1533-position model. The record is from RNAcentral.
UACGUAGGGUGCAAGCGUUAAUCGGAAUUACUGGGCGUAAAGCGUGCGUAGGUGGUUUGUUAAGUCUGUUGUGAAAGCCCCGGGCUCAACCUGGGAAUGGCAAUGGAUACUGGCAGGCUAGAGUGCGGUAGAGGGUAGUGGAAUUCCCGGUGUAGCGGUGAAAUGCGUAGAGAUCGGGAGGAACACCGGUGGCGAAGGCGGCCUGCUGGGCAGUGGCUGACGCUGAGGCGCGACAGCGUGGGGAGCAAACAGG